UCGCAGAAACCAGUGAGGAGCGACUGUUUACUAAAAACACAGGUCCGUGCGAAGUCGCAAGACGAUGUAUACGGACUGACGCCUGCCCGGUGCUGGAAGGUUAAGAGGACCCGUUAACCCGCAAGGGUGAAGCGGAGAAUUUAAGCCCCAGUAAACGGCGGUGGUAACUAUAACCAUCCUAAGGUAGCGAAAUUCCUUGUCGGGUAAGUUCCGACCUGCACGAAUGGCGUAACGACUUCUCAACUGUCUCAACCAUAGACUCGGCGAAAUUGCACUACGAGUAAAGAUGCUCGUUACGCGCGGCAGGACGAAAAGACCCCGGGACCUUCACUACAACUUGGUAUUGAUGUUCGGUACGGUUUGUGUAGGAUAGGUGGGAGACUGUGAAACCUCGACGCCAGUUGGGGCGGAGUCGUUGUUGAAAUACCACUCUGAUCGUAUUGGGCAUCUAACCUCGAACCCUGAAUCGGGUUUAGGGACAGUGCCUGGCGGGUAGUUUAACUGGGGCGGUUGCCUCCUAAAAUGUAACGGAGGCGCCCAAAGGUUCCCUCAACCUGGACGGCAAUCAGGUGGCGAGUGUAAAUGCACAAGGGAGCUUGACUGCGAGACUUACAAGUCAAGCAGGGACGAAAGUCGGGAUUAGUGAUCCGGCACCCCCGAGUGGAAGGGGUGUCGCUCAACGGAUAAAAGGUACCCCGGGGAUAACAGGCUGAUCUUCCCCAAGAGUCCAUAUCGACGGGAUGGUUUGGCACCUCGAUGUCGGCUCGUCGCAUCCUGGGGCUGGAGCAGGUCCCAAGGGUUGGGCUGUUCGCCCAUUAAAGCGGCACGCGAGCUGGGUUUAGAACGUCGUGAGACAGUUCGGUCUCUAUCCGCCGCGCGCGUCAGAAACUUGAGGAAACCUGUCCCUAGUACGAGAGGACCGGGACGGACGAACCUCUGGUGCACCAGUUGUCCCGCCAGGGGCACCGCUGGAUAGCCACGUUCGGUCAGGAUAACCGCUGAAAGCAUCUAAGCGGGAAACCUUCUCCAAGAUCAGGUUUCUCACCCACUUGGUGGGAUAAGGCCCCCCGCAGAACACGGGUUCAAUAGGUCAGACCUGGAAGCUCAGUAAUGGGUGUAGGGAACUGGUGCUAACCGGCCGAAAACUUACAACA
This 1154-nucleotide ribosomal RNA is filed under the name Mycobacterium tuberculosis. RNAcentral describes it as "bacterial LSU rRNA". It matches the Rfam family "Bacterial large subunit ribosomal RNA", at positions 1777 to 2925 of the family's 2925-position model. Lineage: Bacteria; Bacillati; Actinomycetota; Actinomycetes; Mycobacteriales; Mycobacteriaceae. The record is from RNAcentral.